GUUUAAUCUCCCAUUCGGCACUUACUUCUGGAAGCUUCUUUCCCUUUCCUUCCCACCACUCAUUGGCCUUUCACCCCCUAGUUUUUUGUCUGUGUAUGGGACUGUCUUCCCCCACUCCCCCUUGACUGAAGUUCCUUGAGAGCAGCAGCCCUCUUUUUAUCAGGGAAGAGAUUUGAAGCUCAGGACAUUCUUAUCCAAGUAGAUGCUAGCCACCUGGGUAGUCAAGACAGGGCCCUGCACAGUUAAUGUGAAUCUUGUCAUAAUGCCAGGGUUAUUGUUUUGCAAGGAGCUGGUCAUAGAACACUAGAUUGCAUUGUCACUGGGAAAUAAGCUCAUUCUAUUAGCUUGUUUCUCAGCUAGCUUAUGUAGAAAUUUGCCACAGUUGUUACUGCUGGGCACCUGCCCUGGAUCUGAUCAUCAAUUAUAUCAUCUCUUCCAUCUGAUGGACUGCACCUCACCCCUUGCUUUUUCAGAGCUGGCGAAGCUGGGCCAAGGAAAGCGAUAGUGCCAGCUGAGUGGAAUGUGCAGGAAGGGACCGAGGAGGGGCACUAUGUACUGGAGAAAAGAGAUGGGGUCUCCAGGACAGGGGUGAGGACACUAGACUGAGGGCACAAAGGAAGGAAACCACAAGGAAGUAGAGUAGGGAAGUGGGGAGCAUGCUGAGGAGAGAGGUCAAGAGAUGGUGACCGCUUUCUGCAUGCCCCAAGGAGAUGGUGAUGACACUCCCAAGUCCAUGUGGGAAUCCCUCCUUAUGCGGGCCUCAGUCUGUCAUCUUCCUUGGAGCAGGACCAAAGUAAAUAAGAUAAAGUCACAAUUUCUCAUCCUUCUUCACUCAACUUUUCUUUGAGGAGAGAAUACAGCAGUUUCAAGGACAAGGGAUUCGUACCACUGCUCCUCACUCAGUAAAUAGCAGAGACAGAAUUUGAAUGUGAGUCUGACUGAUUCCAAAACCCAUGUAAUAUGCCUGCAUUGAAACAGAGGAAAAUCCAAGGAAAGUGCACACAGCUUGGAGA
Molecule: long non-coding RNA, 1013 nt
Filed under: Pan troglodytes (chimpanzee)
Lineage: Eukaryota; Metazoa; Chordata; Mammalia; Primates; Hominidae
Description: long non-coding RNA NONPTRT017366
Source: RNAcentral